CUAGGAACAAGAUUGCUACUCCUUUCUGCCGUUUAGCUAACGGGAUCAGAAGUGGCGGGGCGUGAUGUGUGUUUAGGAUUUGCACUCCCAAUUCCUGACACCCGCCGAGUUGCUUCAGGCUGAUUAUCGCCUUUCCCAGGAAAAGGAGUUUGGGGAGAAGUGAUGCAUCAUGGGAAGGGAAGUAGAAUGGAUUAAUUGAAUUCAGCUAAACACCCCUUUUCUACCACCUUCUCUACCUUAUCCUCAGGGUUGCAGCAGGAGCCAUCCUUUAUGUACCUUCACAGAGAAUUUGGGACUGAGCUGGAGGAGAUGAAAAAUCCUGGCUGCAUGCAAGCAUCUGAUGUAUUUGUUCCUAAGGCCCAUCUACAUUAUCCCUGGGUUUUGUGAGACACCACCAUCUUUAUAAUAAAUUCCUCUUUUUGCUUAA
Molecule: long non-coding RNA, 427 nt
Organism: Hyaena hyaena (striped hyena)
Lineage: Eukaryota; Metazoa; Chordata; Mammalia; Carnivora; Hyaenidae
Exons: 2
Source: RefSeq, a predicted model, not a curated record